This 429-nucleotide ribosomal RNA is filed under the name Gemmatimonadota bacterium. RNAcentral's name for it is "Gemmatimonadetes bacterium partial 16S ribosomal RNA". It matches the Rfam family "Bacterial small subunit ribosomal RNA", at positions 355 to 776 of the family's 1533-position model. The record is from RNAcentral. Lineage: Bacteria; Pseudomonadati; Gemmatimonadota.
UAGGGAAUCUUCGGCAAUGGACGAAAGUCUGACCGAGCGACGCCGCGUGAGUGAAGAAGGUUUUCGGAUCGUAAAACUCUGUUGUUAGAGAAGAACAAGGACGUUAGUAACUGAACGUCCCCUGACGGUAUCUAACCAGAAAGCCACGGCUAACUACGUGCCAGCAGCCGCGGUAAUACGUAGGUGGCAAGCGUUGUCCGGAUUUAUUGGGCGUAAAGCGAGCGCAGGCGGUUUCUUAAGUCUGAUGUGAAAGCCCCCGGCUCAACCGGGGAGGGUCAUUGGAAACUGGGAGACUUGAGUGCAGAAGAGGAGAGUGGAAUUCCAUGUGUAGCGGUGAAAUGCGUAGAUAUAUGGAGGAACACCAGUGGCGAAGGCGGCUCUCUGGUCUGUAACUGACGCUGAGGCUCGAAAGCGUGGGGAGCAAACAGG